CAACACUGGGGCCAGAGCUGGGGGCCGCCAGGGGCCGGAGCUGGGGGACGUCAGGGGCCGCCAGGGGCCGUCAGGGGCCAGGGGCCUCCAGGGGCCGCCAGGGGCCGGAGCUGGGGGACAUCAGGGGCCGCCAGGGGCCGUCAGGGGCCUCCAGGGGCCGCCAGAGGCUGCCAGGGGACGUCAGGGGCCGGAGCUGGGGGACGUCAGGGGCCGGAGCUGGGGGACGUCAGGGGCCGGAGCUGGGGGACGUCAGGGGCCUCCAGGGGCCGCCAGAGGCUGCCAGGGGACGUCAGGGGCCGGAGCUGGGGGCCGUCAGGGGCCAGGGCUGGGGGCCGUCAGGGGCCGCCGGGGGCCGUCAGGGGCCAGGGGCCUCCAGGGGCCGUCAGGGGCCUCCAGGGGCCGUCAGGGGCCAGGGGCCUCCAGGGGCCGUCAGGGGCCUCCAGGGGCCGCCAGAGGCUGUUAGGGGCCGCCAGGGGCCGGAGCUGGGGGCCGCCAGGGGCCGUCAGGGGCCAGGGGCCUCCAGGGGACGUCAGGGGCCGCCAGGGGCCGUCAGGGGCCAGGGGCCUCCAGGGGCCGUCAGGGGCCUCCAGGGGCCGCCAAAGGCUGCCAGGGGACGUCAGGGGCCGGAGCUGGGGGCCGUCAGGGGCCGCCGGGGGCCGUCAGGGGCCAGGGGCCUCCAGGGGCCGUCAGGGGCCUCCAGGGGCCGCCAGAGGCUGUCAGGGGCCAGGGGCCUCCAGGGGCCGUCAGGGGCCAGGGGCCUCCAGGGGCCGCCAGGGGCCGGAGCUGGGGGACAUCAGGGGCCGCCAGGGGCCGUCAGGGGCCUCCAGGGGCCGCCAGAGGCUGCCAGGGGACGUCAGGGGCCGGAGCUGGGGGACGUCAGGGGCCGGAGCUGGGGGACGUCAGGGGCCGGAGCUGGGGGACGUCAGGGGCCUCCAGGGGCCGCCAGAGGCUGCCAGGGGACGUCAGGGGCCGGAGCUGGGGGCCGUCAGGGGCCAGGGCUGGGGGCCGUCAGGGGCCGCCGGGGGCCGUCAGGGGCCAGGGGCCUCCAGGGGCCGUCAGGGGCCUCCAGGGGCCGUCAGGGGCCAGGGGCCUCCAGGGGCCGUCAGGGGCCUCCAGGGGCCGCCAGAGGCUGUUAGGGGCCGCCAGGGGCCGGAGCUGGGGGCCGCCAGGGGCCGUCAGGGGCCAGGGGCCUCCAGGGGACGUCAGGGGCCGCCAGGGGCCGUCAGGGGCCAGGGGCCUCCAGGGGCCGUCAGGGGCCUCCAGGGGCCGCCAAAGGCUGCCAGGGGACGUCAGGGGCCGGAGCUGGGGGCCGUCAGGGGCCGCCGGGGGCCGUCAGGGGCCAGGGGCCUCCAGGGGCCGUCAGGGGCCUCCAGGGGCCGCCAGAGGCUGUCAGGGGCCAGGGGCCUCCAGGGGCCGUCAGGGGCCAGGGGCCUCCAGGGGCCGUCAGGGGCCUCCAGGGGCCGCCAGAGGCUGUCAGGGGCCAGGGGCCUCCAGGGGCCGUCAGGGGCCUCCAGGGGCCGGAGCUGGGGGCCGCCAGAGGCUGGGGGCCGCCAGGGGCCCUAA
Molecule: long non-coding RNA, 1563 nt
Filed under: Takifugu rubripes (torafugu)
Lineage: Eukaryota; Metazoa; Chordata; Actinopteri; Tetraodontiformes; Tetraodontidae
Description: lncRNA (ENSTRUG00000029810.1)
Source: RNAcentral